UGGGGAAUCUUGGACAAUGGGGGAAACCCUGAUCCAGCCAUGCCGCGUGAGUGAUGAAGGCCUUCGGGUUGUAAAGCUCUUUCGCACGUGACGAUGAUGACGGUAACGUGAGAAGAAGCCCCGGCUAACUUCGUGCCAGCAGCCGCGGUAAUACGAAGGGGGCUAGCGUUGUUCGGAAUUACUGGGCGUAAAGCGCGCGUAGGCGGUUGUGUAAGUCAGGGGUGAAAUCCCAGAGCUUAACUCUGGAACGGCCUCUGAGACUGCAUAGCUAGAGAACGGAAGAGGUGAGUGGAAUUCCCAGUGUAGAGGUGAAAUUCGUAGAUAUUGGGAAGAACACCGGUGGCGAAGGCGGCUCACUGGUCCGUUUCUGACGCUGAUGCGCGAAAGCGUGGGGAGCAAACAGGAUUAGAUACCCCCGUAGUCC
This 424-nucleotide ribosomal RNA is filed under the name uncultured bacterium. RNAcentral describes it as "bacterial SSU rRNA". It matches the Rfam family "Bacterial small subunit ribosomal RNA", at positions 355 to 796 of the family's 1533-position model. The record is from RNAcentral.